UACGUAGGGUCCGAGCGUUGUCCGGAAUUACUGGGCGUAGAGAGCUCGUAGGUGGUUUGUCGCGUUGUUCGUGAAAACUCACAGCUUAACUGUGGGCGUGCGGGCGAUACGGGCAGACUUGAGUACUGCAGGGGAGACUGGAAUUCCUGGUGUAGCGGUGGAAUGCGCAGAUAUCAGGAGGAACACCGGUGGCGAAGGCGGGUCUCUGGGCAGUAACUGACGCUGAGGAGCGAAAGCAUGGGGAGCGAACAGG
Molecule: ribosomal RNA, 253 nt
Filed under: uncultured bacterium
Lineage: Bacteria
Description: partial 16S ribosomal RNA
Rfam family: Bacterial small subunit ribosomal RNA
Source: RNAcentral